RNAcentral lists this unclassified non-coding RNA (232 nucleotides) under Hevea brasiliensis (rubber tree). Lineage: Eukaryota; Viridiplantae; Streptophyta; Magnoliopsida; Malpighiales; Euphorbiaceae. The record is from RNAcentral.
CAUUUGUGUAGUGUAAGCCUACCCGUUAGUUAUGGGUGAGCCUUUCACUUUGGCUUUUCUUUUAGCUGAUAGGGUGAAUCCAUCACAACAAUUGCUUUCGCUGGAAGACUUACUUGGUACUAUUUAUUGAUCCCCCUUGUAAGCCCCCCAAAAGAGGCUUCUAAUCUAAGCCAUCCUUAAGGCCGAGAUGUGAGAUGGCAGCUCACGGACACAGAGUCUUGUUGAUUCCGCG